Molecule: long non-coding RNA, 912 nt
Organism: Podarcis raffonei (Aeolian wall lizard)
Lineage: Eukaryota; Metazoa; Chordata; Lepidosauria; Squamata; Lacertidae
Exons: 2
Source: RefSeq, a predicted model, not a curated record
CUGACCGAUUUCUGUUCUCAUUCUGAGGUAAAGUUCUUAACCCAAGGUACUAUUUCUGGGUUAGCGGAGUCUGUAACCUGAAGCAUAUGUAACCUGAAGCGUAUGUAACCCGAGGUACCACUGUACAUAAUCCUCUCCCCCUCAGCAAAAACAGAAUUACCUGUCAUGAAAGAAGAUUGUAGCGCAGUGAUAUAGCACAUAGCUUGCUGACAGAAGUUUAAUCCCUGGCGAGGGCAGUCACAGCGACCAAGGGACUGCCCAGAAAGGUCCCAGAAAGCCUUUUUAGAUUAUAGAAAAGGCAAGUAAGACAAGGUGGGAAGACAUGAUAAGAGGUCUGUAAGUUUAUACAGCGUGAAGAAAGUGGAUGGGGAGACGUUUUUCUUGCUCUUCUCAUCAUAUUAAAACCUCAGGACACCCAAUGAAGCUAGAGGGCAGGAGAUCUCGGACCAGCAAAAGGCGAGGCUGCUUCACAAAUUGCAUACUUAAACUGUGGAACUCACUGCCCCAUGAUGCAGUGACGGCUUCCAACUUGGGCAGCUUACGGCGGGUUAGACAAAUUCACAGAGGUCAACGCUAUCAGUGGCUACUAGUUAUGAUGGAUAUAUAGUACCUACAGUAGCAGAGGCAGCCUGCCCCUGGGUACCAACUGCUGUGGAACAUGGGUGGGAGAGUGUUAUUGUGCUCAGAAGCAUUUAGCAAACCUCUGGGGGAAACGGAGAAUGCCGGACUAGAGAGGCCUUUGGUUUAAGAGGGUGAGAGACACUCACAGAGGUGUGCAAAGAGCCAAACAGAACCUCCUCGUGCAGGGGCAUUGUAUCUGAAUACCAGAUGCUGGGGUCAAGUAUCCCUCCGUCUGACAAAAAUGGGUCCUGGACCAUGAAAAUGAAUGUCACAAUAAAUCUGUUGGCCGGA